RNAcentral lists this unclassified non-coding RNA (403 nucleotides) under Hevea brasiliensis (rubber tree). The record is from RNAcentral. Lineage: Eukaryota; Viridiplantae; Streptophyta; Magnoliopsida; Malpighiales; Euphorbiaceae.
CCGCACAAUUACAAUAUUCUGCCCAGGCACUGAGAGGGACCUAGAAACAACUCCCUGAGCUGCUCCUUUACUUGUUUUAUGAGAUUCACCAUGCAUUCUUGCAGAAAUGGNCUUGCAGAAAUGGGGGUGGAAACUGAAGGUGACAAGUUUGAUGCAGGUGUAACAGGAAGAGAUGUGCAUCUUUUCCAAGCAGACCUGAGACUGGCCAUAACAGGACUAUCUGGAGCUGUAGUAGGAUCUGAAUUGAUGAGAAAGCUCCGCUCAGUCUCACCGUCAGGUACAACUACAACACCUUUUUUCUUGAAGCUUAAACCACGCAAUAAACCUCCAGAUGAUGAACUGCCUUUACUUGAAUUUUGGGAGUGGAUUAAACCUUUUCCACUCCUACAAGUGCCAAAACCUA